Molecule: ribosomal RNA, 65 nt
Filed under: Aureobasidium pullulans
Lineage: Eukaryota; Fungi; Ascomycota; Dothideomycetes; Dothideales; Saccotheciaceae
Description: partial 26S ribosomal RNA
Rfam family: Eukaryotic large subunit ribosomal RNA (bases 9-65)
Source: RNAcentral
UUCUAGGUUGACCUCGGAUCAGGUAGGGAUACCCGCUGAACUUAAACAUAUCAAUAAGCGGAGGA